UGGGGAAUAUUGGACAAUGGGGGAAACCCUGAUCCAGCCAUGCCGCGUGCGUGAAGAAGGCCUCAGGGUUGUAAAGCGCUUUCGGCGGGGAAGAUGAUGACGGUACCCGCAGAAGAAGCCCCGGCUAACUCCGUGCCAGCAGCCGCGGUGAUACGGAGGGGGCAAGCGUUGUUCGGAAUUACUGGGCGUAAAGGGCGCGUAGGCGGGCGACUAAGUCAGAGGUGAAAGGCCUGGGCUCAACCUGGGAACUGCCUUUGAAACUAGUUGUCUAGAGUCCGGAAGAGGAUGGCGGAAUUCCCAGUGUAGAGGUGAAAUUCGUAGAUAUUGGGAAGAACACCAGUGGCGAAGGCGGCCAUCUGGUCCGGUACUGACGCUCAUCCGCGAAAGCGUGGGGAGCAAACAGGAUUAGAUACCCUGGUAGUCCACGCCGUAAACGAUGUCAACUAGCCGUAGGGGGGCUUGUCCCUUUUGUGGCGCAGCUAACGCGAUAAGUUGACCGCCUGGGGAGUACGGCCGCAAGGUUA
This 524-nucleotide ribosomal RNA is filed under the name uncultured bacterium. Its description in RNAcentral is "bacterial SSU rRNA". It matches the Rfam family "Bacterial small subunit ribosomal RNA", at positions 355 to 896 of the family's 1533-position model. The record is from RNAcentral.